This 492-nucleotide ribosomal RNA is filed under the name uncultured bacterium. RNAcentral describes it as "partial 16S ribosomal RNA". It matches the Rfam family "Bacterial small subunit ribosomal RNA", at positions 39 to 507 of the family's 1533-position model. The record is from RNAcentral.
GGGGGGGGGGGGGGGGGGGGCGGGGGGGGGGGAGGGGGAGGGGGGCGCAGUAAGAGGUUGCGCGUACGGGUGGCGAGUGGCGGACGGGUGAGGGAUACAUCGGAAUCUACUUUUUCGUGGGGGAUAACGUAGGGAAACUUACGCUAAUACCGCAUACGACCUACGGGUGAAAGCAGGGGAUCUUCGGACCUUGCGCGAUUGAAUGAGCCGAUGUCGGAUUAGCUAGUUGGCGGGGUAAAGGCCCACCAAGGCGACGAUCCGUAGCUGGUCUGAGAGGAUGAUCAGCCACACUGGAACUGAGACACGGUCCAGACUCCUACGGGAGGCAGCAGUGGGGAAUAUUGGACAAUGGGCGCAAGCCUGAUCCAGCCAUACCGCGUGGGUGAAGAAGGCCUUCGGGUUGUAAAGCCCUUUUGUUGGGAAAGAAAAGCAGCAGGUUAAUACCCCGCUGUUCUGACGGUACCCAAAGAAUAAGCACCGGCUAACUUCGUG